GACGAACGCUGGCGGCGUGCUUAACACAUGCAAGUCGAACGGAAAGGCCCUGCUUUUGUGGGGUGCUCGAGUGGCGAACGGGUGAGUAACACGUGAGUAACCUGCCCUUGACUUUGGGAUAACUUCAGGAAACUGGGGCUAAUACCGGAUAGGAGCUCCUGCUGCAUGUUGGGGGUUGGAAAGUUUCGGCGGUUGGGGAUGGACUCGCGGCUUAUCAGCUUGUUGGUGGGGUAGUGGCUUACCAAGGCUUUGACGGGUAGCCGGCCUGAGAGGGUGACCGGCCACAUGGGGACUGAGAUACGGCCCAGAAUCCUACGGGAGGCAGCAGUGGGGAAUAUUGCACAAUGGGCGGAAGCCUGAUGCAGCAACGCCGCGUGCGGGAUGACGGCCUUCGGGUUGUAAACCGCUUUCGCCUGUGACGAAGCGUGAGUGACGGUAAUGGGUAAAGAAGCACCGGCUAACUACGUG
RNAcentral lists this ribosomal RNA (468 nucleotides) under uncultured bacterium. RNAcentral's name for it is "partial 16S ribosomal RNA". It matches the Rfam family "Bacterial small subunit ribosomal RNA", at positions 28 to 507 of the family's 1533-position model. The record is from RNAcentral.